Long non-coding RNA from Zonotrichia albicollis (white-throated sparrow), 896 nucleotides. NCBI's taxonomy places the organism in Eukaryota, Metazoa, Chordata, Aves, Passeriformes, Passerellidae. The record is from Ensembl.
AUAAAAUCAGGCUGUUUAAGAGUGUGUCUGGAAAUGGUGAUAAACAGUCCAUUUUCUGCAGUUUGUUACAUCUAUGGAUCAUGUGAAGCAACUUGGACAAGUUGAAUUGCCACAAAUUUCCUUCAGGGCAUGAAAGCCGAGGUGGAAGGAGUUGGUGGUUUGUGUUUGGAAGCUCUCAGGUUCCCUUGGAGCAGGAGAUUUUCACAUCCCCUGUAGAAGGCCCAGCAGUUUUGAAGACAUGGACUGACAAAGGAGGGACAGCUACCAGGAAAAGUCCAGCUGGUAUGUGCCUUUGGUUUGUGUCAUGGUUGGUAUGUGCCAUUGGGUUGGAUCAUUUCCCUGCCUUUUUACAGAUACUAAAGAGAGGAAUCUUGCUGAUGCAUGGCACUACAGUCUCUGGAUACAGAUAUUGAAAGGAGAGCCAGCUCUGCUAAGUCCCCUAAACCAAGACCCGCAGAAAUCCUUCCCAGCUGCCAGCAGACAAAGUCCAAUCCCUUUGUACAGCGGAGGUGCUGUGAGCUAAUGUUAGUGUCAAGCCUCAUUGUCUACAUCCAAGGAGAAAAAUGUUAAGUUUUCAAGAUCAAUGAAGAUUGUCUACUUUCAUGAUGCAUUGUUCUCACUAACAGUGAUGUACGGGAAGCACCUGAGAGUCAAUCUGGAAACUUCUUUGGCCAGGACACAACAAUAUCUCUUGGUUGUUGAUGCGUGGUCUGGCAGCUGUUGCUGCUAAUCUGGUUAUCAGGGCCUGCAGGUGUAUCUGUAUUUACACAACUGGCUUCUAAGGACCUACAUUUAUCAAGUAAUGAUUUAUACUCCACAGAUUGCUUGGGUUUUUAAAUUCUUUUUUAAUAUUUUUUAUUGAACACCAAGGAUAAGAAAGAAUGAGGGAAGCCUUG